Long non-coding RNA from Pocillopora verrucosa, 339 nucleotides. RefSeq lists it as uncharacterized. Lineage: Eukaryota; Metazoa; Cnidaria; Anthozoa; Scleractinia; Pocilloporidae. The record is from RefSeq and is a predicted model, not a curated record.
CUUAACAAUAUAAAGAUCGAAUUUUCGACACAGGUGUGGAUCGUCUUGACAAAGAUCUGACGAUUGGUCAAAUGCAAGGUAAAUUUCAGAUGCAAGUAUUACCACGCUGCGGUCAUUGCGUUCACGAGGAUGCCUCGGACAAAGUGGCAGAAGUCUUAGUGACAUUUCUAAUGCGGCUGAAACUCGCUGUGACAAAGGAGAACUUUCUGAGACCUAUGCCGGCGUGCUAGUCGUGGAUCGUAUUUCUUCUUUUUGUCAAACCAGUACGAGCAGGAGAGAGUUUUGCCAAGUUCAUUUAAUCUCUGUUAAGAAGCCUUUACACGUAAGGUUCUCUUUCUG